RNAcentral lists this long non-coding RNA (2451 nucleotides) under Hordeum vulgare. RNAcentral's name for it is "long non-coding RNA (HVUL_LNC017688)". Lineage: Eukaryota; Viridiplantae; Streptophyta; Magnoliopsida; Poales; Poaceae. The record is from RNAcentral.
UUCUUCUUCAUCGGGGAGUUCCGUUGAUGAGUAAAUAGGCUAAAGAUAAAUUAUCCAAUACCACAUACAGUAUUAAUAUGCAUCUUUUAGUCAAGUUUGAGGUCAUUUUUUAGCUGAAGCCAUCUUCGAGUUAUUUCCUCGAAAUGUUUUAUCCAAAUUGCAUGUUUUCAAUUUCACAUGCAUGCUUGCAUACCUCUUAAAAGUAAGUGGUCCAACGAAAUUCUAGGUCCACUCAUGAAAUUCCUUAUGUUGCUCACAUUCCAGGGUGAUGGGGCCGUCUGUUGAUGUCUUGAGAGUACUUGUUCUCAGAUUCUUAGUCAUUAACAAGGCUGAUCGAACUUACUCCCUCAUGCUUGGUGACGCUCCAAUUCUUCUUUAUUAUUGCAGGAGCUUUUAUGUUUCAUAGAUGUCCCCUGCAAAUCAUUGUAUUAGAGAGGGCUUGUGUUCAUUUUAAUUCUAGGAACCUAUUUAUCCCACGUUUGCAAUUUUAGUUAGGUCACUAGUAUGAUGGAAUUCAAGUAUUUGACAUAGAUAGGGAUACAAGCUGUCGUUUAGAAGAAUGGUAGGUUCUAAACUUGAGCGUGAUUUAUUCUACUAUGUGUGCAACUAUGUAAUAUAUUCUUCGAACUUGAAUUAUUAUGUAUUCUUUUUCUAUUUUUGUAGUCAUAUGUUAUUAUUAUUUUUGUCAUGGAGUUUGCUCAUGACUAAGUUGACAACAGGUAAAUCAUCUGAAACAAUAUAUAGUAUAAAUAUGCACGUUAGUUCAGUUUGUGAUUGCUAAAUUAAAUCUUUGUCUUACCACACAAGAUGGCAUUUGUAUCUAUGGAAAUAUUUAAAGGCUUGAUUUUCCAAGAAUAUUCUGCUUUUGGUUAAGAUUUAUUUCAUACCUUCGGUUCACAUAUUAUAAAAUAUCCGUUGAUUAAUCCGCAGGUGCUUGGAUGUCACUCUGUGUAUAACUUACGACUUCGACAUAUAUGAAGAUUAAUCGAAGUAUGCCUUUACUCUUCUUUCUCAUGGCGCACGGAGUGAGCUGAUGCGGUGUUUGAAUGGUGAGAUGUGGUCGUGGGUUUCAGGAUCAAAGAUGGUAGUCAGAAUUAGCUGAAGAUGUGUUCCUGCAGCUGCAAGCAUAUGUAAUUAGCUUAAGAACCAUUACAAUUAAUUAACUAUUUGUACUUAUUUUUCCACCAUAUAAUGUGCUACCAUGGUCAUGUUUACUCAACCCAAAUUGCAUGUUUUGGAGUUUACAUGUGGGCUAACAUACCGUGUAAAACUGUGUGAAGCUACCAACUUAAGCAACACAAUGGGUUGUCUUAGACUCCACAUUCUUUUGACAUCCUGGAAGUUAGUCAUGUCAUCUCUAAGAUUUUCCCUCAUGCUCUCUACUAUUUUUUCUUAAUUUCUUAUUGUAUGCAGACUCAGGUUUAUGAAGUUUUGCGCCCAAAAUAAUCGCUUACAGAAUAUGAGUAUUAUUCAAAGAUAGCAGUAAAUUAUGUGCGUUAGACGAGCAAUGAGAUUUCCAAGGUCGUCAACAAGAGUUUUAUUUAUAUUGCUGAGGUGCUUACUGCAUAACAUGUACGAUAUUGUUAAAGGUACUAUUUUUGUGUUAACUGUGCAUGUAUGAUCUAUUUCUGUAGUCUCCUUUGCAUUAUUAGAACGGUACGCUUUAUAGGGUCAUUGACAAGAGUGAGUUUACAUGCAGGCUUACAUGCCAUUUAACACUGGGUGCUACCUUCUUGAAGCAAACAUAGGGGGGUUGUUUUCUUACAUUCAUAUUUUCAGUUGGAUUCCACAAUAUAUUGAUAUCCUGAAAGUUAGUAUUGUGAUCUCUAUCUUUUUACCCACGUGCUCUCUCUACUAAUUCUUCUAAAUUUGUUAUUUCAUGGAGCCUUAAAGUUUACAAAGUUUCAAGUUCGAAAUAAUUGUUUUACAAAUGGGGAGUACUGGGCACAAAUGGUACAUGAUAUGGGUGAGAACAUGGUAAUAUUUCCAAUGUCAUCUAUGGGAUUGUCAUUUAUACAACUAAAAGUGUUCAACUCUAUACGGUAUUAUCAAAAGGUAUUAUUGUUCUGAUUUCUAUUUUCUUAGGCUCCUAUGGGCUAUUAGAAAUGUAAUUAAGUUAUCCCGUGUCAUCGAUAAGAGCGAGAUUUAUAUUAUUUCAAUUGUUUAACUGUGUAAGAUAACGUGAUAUUCUCUUAUUUAUUUGUCUAUUUUUGUAGGCUUGCUCCCAGGUUUCUUCUUCACUGGGGAGUUGCGCUGACGAGUAAAUAGGCUAAAGGUAAAUUAUCCAAUACCACAUACAGUAUUAAUAGGCACCUUUGUAGUCAAGUUUGAGGUCUUUUUUCAGCUGAAGCCAUCUUCGAGUUAUUUCCUCGAAAUGUUUUAUCCAAAUUGCAUGUUUUCAAUUUCACAUGCAUGCUUGCAUAUAUACCUCUUAAAAGUAAGUGGUCCAAC